Arabidopsis lyrata subsp. lyrata is the source of this 1931-nucleotide long non-coding RNA. RefSeq lists it as uncharacterized. The record is from RefSeq and is a predicted model, not a curated record. The transcript has 7 exons. NCBI's taxonomy places the organism in Eukaryota, Viridiplantae, Streptophyta, Magnoliopsida, Brassicales, Brassicaceae.
ACGUGGAAGAAUGAAGGAACAUGAUUGGUGGAAGCUUGAAUGAUGCGUUGGCAGAGUUUGAUUGGCUGAAGGAAGAUGAGAGCAAGAGGAAGAUAUAGAGAGCCUCGAGAGAUCAGUUGCAGAGAAAUCAUUUUUAGUUGUAUCUUUUCUUCUUCUUCUUAGUUUGUUAUGAGAUUAUGGUGUUGUACUCAUCUAGAUCGAGAUCUCUCUGUUAGAUCUUCGUCAUUUGAGAUAUCGGCUCGCGUUUUAUGAACGUUAGUUCGAUUUGGUUCCGGUUACAAUUUGUAUUGAAGCAUUGGUGAAUUUGUUCUUUAUCAUGGAGAUCUCUUCAAACCCUAGCCUACGAAGAGGUCCGAUCCUCCGGGGGACUGGAAGAAUGAAUCUACAGCUCUCAUCCGAUGAAUCUCAUGUUUGUGUACACAGAUUGGAAGAUGAUACUGGUCGAUUUGAGGAAUCCGCCUCAUGAUUCCGCUUAGGAUUUAGUUGAUUUUGGUGAACGCAAGUGGAUGGAUAUGGUUAUUGGUCAUUCCUUGCUCGUGGUGAUUAUGGACAGCUAUGGGUGCUAGACUUUGUCCCUGGGGAAGUCAAGGCACACCAAAGUGGUGGUCAAGUAGAGGAAUUUCUGCAAACUUACCUUCACCAAUCCCUUCCCGCAUUUAAAGUCACGUUCUUUCUGUUGUUCUUGGUGUUUGUCUACCCACUCGACUGUUUGUUCACAGCUUAGUAGUUCCAUUUACGGUUAAUGUUCCAAAUUGAUAUCCACACGAAAGCAGAUAUAUAUACUGCUCACUUUGAAAUCUCGGGUGAACGUUAGUUACUAUAUAUGUGGUGUAUAACAUCUCUCUGAUUUAGCUGUUGUUGCAGAUGCAAGGGCACUUUUUGGUGUGUUUUUUUUGGCAUGUAUGAGAGUAAAACCGCAUCUGCAUAUAUAGUUAACUGGAGUUAAAUAGUAUGCUUAUAUGAUCUCUUCUAGCUGAUUAUGUUACACCUAACCUAGUGGCUAGUGCCACUCAAACAUUUUUUUUGGAUUCUAGAUGGCUUGUGGAUCAUAGGGUCGAAAUUGGGUCCUCAAGAUCGUUAUUUGAGUGGAUUAAGCACUUGGCAGCCACCUCAAUACUCUAGAGAUCCGGAGACUCAGAGACAUGGGCCUUUAAGCUUGUCAGGUCUGUCCAAAUGGUCAACUCUUACAGGGAGCCUUCAUACUGGUCAUUGCUAGAUAAUCUACCAAAAGACUCAAAAAUCUCUUUUGUGAAUGCAGAAAAAGAAGUGACCGAUGGGACCACGAUACAACCAAUGCGGCUUGAUACAAUUGCUACUUAAUUCUAAAAAAAUUGAUUACUACUAAUGCUAUUCUGGUUCGCCUCUUUCGCUAGCUAUAUGCGGAUCAGCAACCACACCCUAGCUUCCCUUCUUCCUUCAUCUGUUCAAAACCGUGGAUAUCGUAAAUGCAUAGUGCAAGUUUUGGUGGAAUUGUAGUCGAGGAGAAAGACAAGAGAGCCAAAGGAAGAUAAUGUGACUCUUGGACCUGCUGUUCGUGAAGCACAUGACUGAUUUGUCUGGACGGGAAACCCGUGUUCGCAUCACUGGUGGAAUGAAGGUGAAAGCCGACAGGGAUGAGAGUCUGCACCGUAUUUGCAGAUAUGCUUGCUGCACAAAAUGUCGCUUAGCGAUGCAAGAGGAUGUGACUCCAAUCCCAAACGACAGACCCGCAGAAAGGGUGGCAGAAGAGGAGAGUUUUUUUUUUGGCGUCGCUGGAUCCUCUUAUGGGCUCUACUCUCAAUGUUUCAUAAUUGUUCUUUCUUUCUUAAGAGUUUUGAAUUUACUAUGCUUUAUUAUAGUAUCAACUCUGAACAGCUUUGGAUCUUCUGUUAUAUGCUAAGAUAUUCAAAAUUGGUACUCAAUUUAUCUCAUGAACAUCUUGGAUUUUUACU